Molecule: ribosomal RNA, 462 nt
Filed under: uncultured Alphaproteobacteria bacterium
Lineage: Bacteria; Pseudomonadati; Pseudomonadota; Alphaproteobacteria
Description: bacterial SSU rRNA
Rfam family: Bacterial small subunit ribosomal RNA
Source: RNAcentral
CCUUUGGGUUGUAAAGCUCUUUUGUCGGGAAAGAUAAUGACUGUACCCGAAGAAUAAGGUCCGGCUAACUUCGUGCCAGCAGCCGCGGUAAUACGAAGGGACCUAGCGUAGUUCGGAAUUACUGGGCUUAAAGAGUUCGUAGGUGGUUAAAAAAGUUGAUGGUGAAAUCCCAAGGCUCAACCUUGGAACUGCCAUCAAAACUUUUUAGCUAGAGUGUGAUAGAGGAAAGUGGAAUUUCUAGUGUAGAGGUGAAAUUCGUAGAUAUUAGAAAGAACAUCAAAAGCGAAGGCAACUUUCUGGAUCAUUACUGACACUGAGGAACGAAAGCAUGGGUAGCGAAGAGGAUUAGAUACCCUCGUAGUCCAUGCCGUAAACGAUGUGUGCUAGACGUUGGAAACUUAGUUUUCAGUGUCGCAGCGAAAGCAUUAAGCACACCGCCUGGGGAGUACGACCGCAAGGUUA